This 882-nucleotide long non-coding RNA is filed under the name Equus asinus (donkey). RNAcentral's name for it is "lncRNA (ENSEASG00005025081.1)". The record is from RNAcentral. Lineage: Eukaryota; Metazoa; Chordata; Mammalia; Perissodactyla; Equidae.
AACGAGCUAUUUUCCAAAGAUGCUCCAGCCAAAUUUUCAAUAUAGCAACUGUCAGUGGUAGUGCUGAUGGUGCAGAGGGUGAGCUGAGGGAGAGCGGCCAUGCCGGCAUCCUUUACAACAUUGGGCUGCAAACUCAUGCUCUCCCUUUCUAAUCCUCAGAACCUGUGUGCAGUAUCCCCCCCUUAUUCACGGUUUCUGGUUUUGCUUUCCGCGGUUUCAGUUAGCCGUGGUCACACAGUCCAGAAGCAGAUGCUCCGCCUUCUGAUGUAUGAUUAGAAGGUCAAUAGUCACCUAACACUAGGUCACAAGGCCACAUCAUCCCCUCGCUUCAUCUCAUCAUGUAGGCGCUGUAUCAUCUCACAUCAGCACAAGAAGAAGACAGAAGCUCCGAUGUUUGUGGAGACAUGGCUGUCCUGGAUCUCGCUCCCCGGUACAUAGUUGUAUAUUCUUCGUUGUGGGUCCUGCUACUUGUGGCAUGUGGGACGCUGCCUCAGCGUGGUUUGAUGAGCAGUGCCAUGUCCGCGCCCAGGAUUCGAACCAACGAAACACUGGGCCGCCUGCAGCGGAGCUCGUGAACUUAACCACUCGGCCACGGGGCCAGCCCUCAGAAGCAGUAAUUCUUAACUCACAGGAUUUUUUGCCAAGGUUAAAUUAAAUGAGAUAGUAAAUGCGUGUCGUGUAGAGCUUCCCACACAGUUGCUCCAUAAAUGGUAACUAUCGCCCCUCUUCAGACUUAGAGGAGGACUCAGAGGACCACCUUGGUCUACAGCCUGCUUUGUGUGGUGCACUCGUCUCCUGAUUUUUCCAGUUAGGGAAUAUCGAGCUAAACAAAUACGAUUUCCUACGUCUAUACCUGGCUUUAUGGGACAGGUCUUAUAAUUC